Molecule: ribosomal RNA, 488 nt
Filed under: uncultured bacterium
Lineage: Bacteria
Description: partial 16S ribosomal RNA
Rfam family: Bacterial small subunit ribosomal RNA
Source: RNAcentral
GACGAACGCUGGCGGCGUGCUUAACACAUGCAAGUCGAACGGAAAGGCCCUGCUUUUGUGGGGUGCCCGAGUGGCGAACGGGUGAGUAACACGUGAGUAACCUGCCCUUGACUUUGGGAUAACUUCAGGAAACUGGGGCUAAUACCGGAUAGGAGCUCCUGCUGCAUGGUGGGGGUUGGAAAGUUUCGGCGGUUGGGGAUGGACUUGGGGCUUAUCAGCUUGUUGGUGGGGUAGAGGCCUACCAAGGCGUGGAUGGGUAGCCGGCCUGAGAGGGUGACCAGCCGCACUGGAAGGGAGACAGGGUCCAGGGGCCUACGGGAGGCAGCAGUGGGGAAUAGGGGAGAAUGGGGGGAAGCCUGAUCCAGCGGGGCCGAGUGUGUGAAGAAGGUCGCCGGAUUGGGAAGCACUGUCAGUGGGGAGGAAGCGCAGUAAGUUAAUACCGAGCUGUUUUGACGGUAACAGGAGAAAAAGCACCGGCUAACUUCGUG